This 345-nucleotide ribosomal RNA is filed under the name Pseudomonas sp. UCM B-379. RNAcentral describes it as "bacterial SSU rRNA". It matches the Rfam family "Bacterial small subunit ribosomal RNA", at positions 135 to 475 of the family's 1533-position model. The record is from RNAcentral. Lineage: Bacteria; Pseudomonadati; Pseudomonadota; Gammaproteobacteria; Pseudomonadales; Pseudomonadaceae.
AGUGGGGGAUAACGUUCGGAAACGGACGCUAAUACCGCAUACGUCCUACGGGAGAAAGCAGGGGACCUUCGGGCCUUGCGCUAUCAGAUGAGCCUAGGUCGGAUUAGCUAGUUGGUGAGGUAAUGGCUCACCAAGGCUACGAUCCGUAACUGGUCUGAGAGGAUGAUCAGUCACACUGGAACUGAGACACGGUCCAGACUCCUACGGGAGGCAGCAGUGGGGAAUAUUGGACAAUGGGCGAAAGCCUGAUCCAGCCAUGCCGCGUGUGUGAAGAAGGUCUUCGGAUUGUAAAGCACUUUAAGUUGGGAGGAAGGGCAUUAACCUAAUACGUUAGUGCUUUGACGU